UACGUAGGGGGCAAGCGUUGUCCGGAUUUAUUGGGCGUAAAGAGCUCGUAGGCGGUCUGUUGCGUCCGCUGUGAAAACCCGGGGCUUAACCCCUGGCUUGCAGUGGAUACGGACAGACUAGAGGUAGGUAGGGGAGAAUGGAAUUCCCGGUGUAGCGGUGAAAUGCGCAGAUAUCGGGAGGAACACCGGUGGCGAAGGCGGUUCUCUGGGCCUUACCUGACGCUGAGGAGCGAAAGCGUGGGGAGCGAACAGG
Molecule: ribosomal RNA, 253 nt
Filed under: uncultured bacterium
Lineage: Bacteria
Description: partial 16S ribosomal RNA
Rfam family: Bacterial small subunit ribosomal RNA
Source: RNAcentral